Molecule: non-coding RNA, 29 nt
Filed under: Rattus norvegicus (Norway rat)
Lineage: Eukaryota; Metazoa; Chordata; Mammalia; Rodentia; Muridae
Source: RNAcentral
UACGAGAUCAAGGUGGGACCGAAGCCAAU